Molecule: long non-coding RNA, 2424 nt
Organism: Bos indicus x Bos taurus (hybrid cattle)
Lineage: Eukaryota; Metazoa; Chordata; Mammalia; Artiodactyla; Bovidae
Source: Ensembl
AUGAAAACUACCCGUAGCAGAAGUAAGUAAACAGCAGCACAUUCAUUUGAUGGAAUUUAUUCAGCCAUUGAAAUUCAUGCUCAGGAAACGUCUGACAGAGAGAAACAUGAGUGAAAAGAGCAGGAUAUAGAGGGCGCAGCCAGAAUGACCCCAACUGUGGGCUGCAGAGAGCGAUGCCUGAGCGGGGCAUCGCAUUUUAUAGCAUUUACGUGCUGUAAAUGGAGAGCUGCAAGGUCUGGGGCUUACGGUGGGCUGGGAGGGGCGGGCGCCGUGGAGUGGAGAGCGAUACUCCCUUUGCGUGCAGGUGGUGGAGGCAUUAAUUCUUGGCCCCGGCUUUGUCCCAAGUAGUGCUCAAGCUGCUGUACCCCAGCCAGUCCUCACAAGUCAUUGCUUGCUGGGCUGUGCUUAAAGCUCCCAGGGGGCACCGGGGCAUUAACAGGUGAUUUGGGUGGGACUUUCGACCCUGCCGUGAUCUUCAUCACUCUUCCCAACCUUCAACCAUUAAAAACAUUCGCAAUUGUAAGAGACUCUAGCAAACACAGGUUCAAAACAAAGACCCUAAUGUGCACCCCACCCCCAAAAUGAAUUGAGAACCCUUAUAAAGAAAGCCUAGUGCUGGAACUCUGGGCAUAACUGGGUCCUUCUGCAGAUUGUGUCUUUUCCAAGGAACCCAGGAAAGCAAUCACAGAGGAGCAGCUCUCACCCUAGAACUGUGGUUCAGCAAAAAAAAAAAAAAAAAGAGGGUGAGGAAAAGACGGGGAGCCAGGAGACCUGCAUUCUGAUGCUAACUCUGUCCUCAACAAGUGAUUUCUUCUCUCUGGGCCUCAGUUUUCGCUUCUGUAAAAUAGGGACGUUCCCAGAACCUAGGUGGGGAGUGGCCUGCGCUUAGGCAGGUGGCGGGGCCCAGCGCAGUGGCCGAUGCAGCAGGGGCCUCUGACGGCUGCCGGGGAAGCCCGCACACUGUGGGCCUCGGCGCCCUCCUCGUUGACCGGAGGGCGGUAGCCACUGUCCCGCAGGAAGUGAGGGUCGCAGCCAGGGCUCGACGGUCCCUGUUACCUAGCCGGAGCAAAGUGCACGGCGGCUGGCAGAAGCCUAACCCAGCUAGAGGCGGAGCGAGCUUCCAAUCCGGCCCCAGGCGGUCACGUGGGCGGUCACGUGACCACACCCGGAAGCGCGGCGCGGACUCCUGGCAGGCUGGUAGGUGUUUGGCUACGACUCGGUACGCACAGUCCGAGGGCCUCGGUAGGCGGCGGGGCCUCCUCCGGGACCCCGGCACGGCCCUCCCGGAAGUAGAGGGGUCCCUACCGCCAGCCUCACCCACCCGGCGUGGGAACGUGGCGGGUCACUUCACUUCUGAGCAGAGAGCAGGGAAGCCACAAAAUAACACCAGUGAGGUUCUCUUUCCAACAGACCUUUUGAAAUAAAAGUAGAACUUAAUGUCAACUAAAGAGGAUUUCCAUGUUAAUGGGAAGACGGCGUUAAGGUCAGUCAUGCCAGUGACGUAGUAGUGAAGUCUCAUGUUGCACAAGAUGCUGAGCCCUUAACAGCCCUUUCUUGCCUUCUGUUUGCUUGCAAUGUUUGGCUUCCUGAUUAAGCUAAAGCUUUAUAUUGUUCCUGCUUUUUAUCAUCGAAAUAUGAGUGGUUCUGGAACUAGUUUAGUUCACCCUGUUUUUGAGGAGGGGAGCUGGGAAAUAAGAAUAGUGACACCCCCACCUCACCUCUCUGUGUAAGAAGAGCUUUCCAGGUGGCCCAGUGGUUAAGACCCUGCCUGCCAGUGCAGGAGACACAGGAGAUGUGGGUUCAGUCCCUGGGUGGGAAAGAUCCCUCGGAGAAGGAAAUGGCAAUCCAUUCCAGUAUUCCUUCAUGGGAAAUAGCAUGGACAGAGGAGCCUGGUGGGCUACAGUCCAUAGGGUUGCAAAGUGUAGGACGUGAUUGAGCACACACUUCUGUAAGAAAGUAGUUUGCUAAGGAUGUGACUGCCUGGUUGCUCCCUGACUCACUAGAACCCUGGAGGGAGAUGGAGCCAGAGGUUGAGCCCAGAGAGGUGUAAGUGCCUUGGCAAAGCCAGAACUAGAACCAGGUCUCCCGUGCCUGUUGCGUUGGUUUACUGCCAUUCACUGCAUCAUCCUGGGGUAUCUCCUGUCUUCCAGGACUGCAUCUCUGUCUCCCUGGGAUGUGCUGUGCUAUUGCCUAAUAUUAGUCACUCAUAGCAGGCUGCCUGGGGGUGCUCAGGGUAGGCUUGCUGACCACACCAUGGUUCAGAGUGACCCACAGGGAAGUGAGAGUGCUCAGGAGGAAACAGUAGGUGAGAAUUACCGUUUGUGGCCACCGGCUACGUCCAAAGGACUGUGCCUGCUGGGUCCAUGUUCUCCAUUGUGGGAAGGCAGGGGUGAGCAGUAUGUGGAGCACAGGGACGCCUGGCAG